Molecule: ribosomal RNA, 253 nt
Filed under: uncultured bacterium
Lineage: Bacteria
Description: partial 16S ribosomal RNA
Rfam family: Bacterial small subunit ribosomal RNA
Source: RNAcentral
UACAGAGGUCUCAAGCGUUGUUCGGAUUCAUUGGGCGUAAAGAGCGCGUAGGCGGCCCGGAAAGUGGGGUGUGAAAACCCGAGGCUCAACCUCGGGCGUGCAUUCCAAACUCCCGGGCUUGAGGCAGGUAGGGGAGAUCGGAAUUCCUGGUGUAGCGGUGAAAUGCGCAGAUAUCAGGAGGUACACCGGUGGCGAAGGCGGAUCUCUGGGCCUGUUCUGACGUUGAGGCGCGAAAGCUAGGGGAGCGAACAGG